Molecule: ribosomal RNA, 573 nt
Filed under: Limnothrissa miodon
Lineage: Eukaryota; Metazoa; Chordata; Actinopteri; Clupeiformes; Clupeidae
Description: partial 16S ribosomal RNA
Rfam family: Bacterial large subunit ribosomal RNA
Source: RNAcentral
CGCCUCCUGAACCCAACCAUAUAGGAGGUCCCGCCUGCCCUGUGACCAAAAGUUUAACGGCCGCGGUAUUUUAACCGUGCAAAGGUAGCGCAAUCAAUUGUCUUUUAAAUGGAGACCUGUAUGAAUGGCAUAACGAGGGUUUAACUGUCUCUUUUUUCCAGUCAAUGAAACUGAUCUGCCCGUGCAGAAGCGGACAUACUUACACAAGACGAGAAGACCCUAUGGAGCUUUAGACGCCCACCAACUAUGAAAAGUAACCAUGUCAACGGAACUCCAAACAACAUACCCCUGGUACAAACGUCUUCGGUUGGGGCGACCACGGGGGAAAACGAAGCCCCCGAGAGGAUAGGGGAACACCCUAAAACCAAGAACUACAAUUCUAAGUCACAAAAUGUUUGACCAAUUAAUGAUCCGGCUUACGCCGAUCAACGGACCAAGUUACCCUAGGGAUAACAGCGCAAUCCCCUCCCAGAGUCCAUAUCGACGAGGGGGUUUACGACCUCGAUGUUGGAUCAGGACAUCCUAAUGGUGCAGCCGCUAUUAAGGGUUCGUUUGUUCAACGAUUAAAGUCCU